This is a long non-coding RNA of Saccostrea echinata, 532 nucleotides long. RefSeq lists it as uncharacterized. The record is from RefSeq and is a predicted model, not a curated record. The transcript has 2 exons. Lineage: Eukaryota; Metazoa; Mollusca; Bivalvia; Ostreida; Ostreidae.
UUGGUAAAAAUACAACUAACUGACUGGUAAAAAAUUGUUAUUGCCCACCUACCCACCCCAUUCUGUUAGGUGUAGGCCAAUAAAUGUAUUUGAAGUUUUUGAUGUUAAAAAUUUUUGCAACUUCUGAAGUUCAUUUGAGAUAAAAAUACGUUAGUAGUUUAGAAUUUAUUUUGUUUAGGCAAUAGAUACUGCUCUGUUGAUUUAAUCUGUAGGAAGAUUGUCAUAGCCUUAUUGAUGUGGAUGAACUGGUACAAUCAAGACAAUGUCCGAGAGGCAAUGGCAACAAGGAAUCCUAAUGAGGAAAAGAUCCAUUCCUGAGCAUCGUGACGUUGUGUACGUAGUAAAGAUUAAGUAACUGUCUGCAGAUUACCCGGGAUGGUCCAUUUUAUAUAAUUGCUGAAUUUGAUUGAUGAUUGACUGAUUUGUUGUUGAUGCUCAAGUGGGUGUGCCAAUGUUGUGUUGAUUUGUUUGGCGACCCACGAAUAUUGCCACGACAAUAUUAGCCACAUACAAAUAAAUAAUUGUUAACUUU